This 391-nucleotide ribosomal RNA is filed under the name uncultured bacterium. Its description in RNAcentral is "bacterial SSU rRNA". It matches the Rfam family "Bacterial small subunit ribosomal RNA", at positions 29 to 419 of the family's 1533-position model. The record is from RNAcentral.
AUUGAACGCUGGCGGCGUGCCUAACACAUGCAAGUCGAGCGGCAGCGCGGGAGCAAUCCUGGCGGCGAGCGGCGAACGGGUGAGUAAUGCUUCGGAAUCUGCCCCUUCAGUGGGGAAUAACCAGUCGAAAGACUGGCUAAUACCGCAUACGAACUGAGGUUGAAAGCAGGGGAUCGCAAGACCUUGCGCUGAUGGAUGAGCCGAAGUCGGAUUAGCUAGUUGGUAGGGUAACGGCCUACCAAGGCGACGAUCCGUAGCUGGUCUGAGAGGACGACCAGCCACACUGGGACUGAGACACGGCCCAGACUCCUACGGGAGGCAGCAGUGGGGAAUAUUGGACAAUGGGGGCGAACCCUGAUCCAGCGACGCCGCGUGUGUGAAGAAGGCCUGC